GAAAAACAAGAACGAGAGUUUUAUUUAUUUGGAAACUAUGAAACUGAAAAUUCAAAUUUAAACAUUUAAAGAUGAACUAAAGAAAAAUAAGAGACAACAUAAAAUGGCUAUGAAUACGAGUGAAAAGAGAAGAAAAAAAAGAGGUCAAUGAGGAAGACGAAAGUAAAUAGGAAUGGGGUUAGGCUUGUUAGGAGGAGAAUCCCAAACAGAGAAAGCACUUGAUGAAUUCAUCCAUUUGUUUGAAAUCUCUGGGUAAUGCCUUUCUAUAACAUCUUUCAAACUCUCUGUUGUGUUUACCCAUUCCAAUCCCUUCUUUGUGUAUGUUUCUUCAUUGAAAUGACUU
RNAcentral lists this long non-coding RNA (343 nucleotides) under Cucumis sativus (cucumber). RNAcentral's name for it is "long non-coding RNA (CSAT_LNC001286)". The record is from RNAcentral. Lineage: Eukaryota; Viridiplantae; Streptophyta; Magnoliopsida; Cucurbitales; Cucurbitaceae.